Molecule: long non-coding RNA, 373 nt
Organism: Rhododendron vialii
Lineage: Eukaryota; Viridiplantae; Streptophyta; Magnoliopsida; Ericales; Ericaceae
Exons: 2
Source: RefSeq, a predicted model, not a curated record
UUGAUUGCCGAGGCUGGCAAGAUUUGGACUGUCCAGUUCAAUUCAAAAUGAGGAUAGGAUCCAUUUUCCACUUCAAAAACGAAACAAAGUGAUAAACCCCUAAACCAAAUAGUUGACACAAGAAACUGAAAGUACCCAGAAAAAAAAAAGAGAGAGAGAGAGAGAGAGAGAGAGAGAGAGAGAACCAUCGAGGAGGCUUCAUUUGUGGAUCAAGGGCUGGCCAUCUCUGUCUGUAUAGAGACUCCCACACACAAUCCGACCCACACAGCUCGCGCCAAAACCUAGAACAACUACCGAACGAACACACAUCCGAUUCCUUCAAAAAUAAAUGAUUCCAAACCCAUAAUAACAAAAACCCAAAACAAAAAUAAAA